CCCACCUUCCGGCUGCCGGGAACGAACGCGGAAACCCAGGCGCGCGGGAAGGGGAUCCAGCCCCUGGGGGGACGCACAGGGAGACUGAGGCGGGAGGCGGGGCCCGGCCACGAUCCCUACACCCAGAAACCUAGCUCCGGGGGGGACGGACACCUAGGCGAGGAGUCGAAAACUCAACCACAACACCUGCGUCCCGAACCUGGGCUGCGGACUGAGCCAGGAAUCCAGCCCAGGGAGGCGAGGAGACACGGACAGGGAUGGACUUCGAGGGGACCUCCUGGAUAUCAUCUUGAAGUAUACUUCCAGCUGUGGGAUAAUGGGGUCAAGGUUGUGCUGACGGGGCUGGGUGGCUCAUACUUGUCAUCCCAGCACUUUGGGAGGCUGAGGCAGAAGGACUGCUUGAGCUCAGGAGUUCAAGACAAGCCUGGGCAACCUGGUGAGAUCCCGUCUGUACAAAAAAAUUUAAAAAUAAAUUAGCUGGGCCGGGCGCGGUGGCUCACGCCUGUAAUCCCAGCACUUUGGGAGGCCAAAGUGGGUGGAUCACCUGCGCUCAGGAGAUCGAGACCAGCCUGGCCAACAUGGUGAAACCCCAUCUCUACUAAAAAUACAAAAAAUUAGCUGGGCAUGGUGGCAGGUGCCUGUAAUCCCAGCUACUUGGGAGGCUGAGGCAGGAGAAUUGCUUGAACCCAGGAGGCAGAGGUUGCAGUGAGCUGAGAUUGUGGCAUUGCACUCCAGCCGGGGCAAAAAGAGCGAAAUUCUGUCUCAAAUAAUAAUAAUAAUAAUAAUAAUAGCUGGACAUAGUGAUGCAUGACUGUCAUCAUCAUGCAUCAUCUCGUCAGCAACUCCUAAGUGGUCCCAUCUACUUAGGAGGCUGAGGUGGGAGGAUUGCUUCAACCCGGGAGGUGGAGUCUGCAGUGAGCUGUGAUCACACCACUGCACUCCAACCUGGGUGACAGAGGGAGACCCUGUCUCAAGAAUAAUAAUAAUAGUCUGGGCUCGGUGACUCACAUCUGUAAUCCCAGCACUUUGGGAGGCCGAGGCGGAUGAAUUAUUUGAGGUCAAGAGAGAGAGACCAUCCUGGCCAACAUGGUGAGACGGGGUCUCUACUAAAAGUACAAAAAUUAGCUGGGCAUGGUGGUGCAC
RNAcentral lists this long non-coding RNA (1143 nucleotides) under Macaca nemestrina (pig-tailed macaque). RNAcentral describes it as "lncRNA (ENSMNEG00000045868.1)". Lineage: Eukaryota; Metazoa; Chordata; Mammalia; Primates; Cercopithecidae. The record is from RNAcentral.